UAAGGGCCCAGAUGUGUCCUGUUGGAGUGUAUGUGUCUAUGGCUGGUGCGGGCUGUCCCCAGGAGUGCCGAGUUGGCUGUGUGUGUUUGCUUUGGUAUGUCGCCAGAUGCGAAGCGGCCAGAGAGAAGUCAACCCUGCGCCUGAAUUCCCAGCAGGAUUGA
This 161-nucleotide long non-coding RNA is filed under the name Dasypus novemcinctus (nine-banded armadillo). RNAcentral's name for it is "lncRNA (ENSDNOG00000052855.1)". Lineage: Eukaryota; Metazoa; Chordata; Mammalia; Cingulata; Dasypodidae. The record is from RNAcentral.